CCCUUAGAUGUUCUGGGCCGCACGCGCGCUACAAUGGCAAACUCAGCGAGUCUCCUUUACCGACAGGUAUAGGAAAUCUUUUCAGUGUUUGCCGUGAUGGGGCUAGACCCUUGUAAUUAUUGGUCUCCAACGAGGAAUUCCUAGUAAACGCAGGUCAUUAACCUGCAUUGAUUACGUCCCUGCCCUUUGUACACACCGCCCGUCGCACCUACCGAUUGAAUGGUCCGGUGAAGUCUCCGGACUGAGUACUUUUAGUACUUGGGAAGUUGACUAAACCUUACUAUCUAGAGGAAGGUGAAGUCGUAACA
This 308-nucleotide ribosomal RNA is filed under the name uncultured eukaryote. RNAcentral's name for it is "partial 18S ribosomal RNA". It matches the Rfam family "Eukaryotic small subunit ribosomal RNA", at positions 1470 to 1796 of the family's 1831-position model. The record is from RNAcentral.